This 253-nucleotide ribosomal RNA is filed under the name uncultured bacterium. RNAcentral's name for it is "partial 16S ribosomal RNA". It matches the Rfam family "Bacterial small subunit ribosomal RNA", at positions 524 to 776 of the family's 1533-position model. The record is from RNAcentral.
UACGGAGGGUGCAAGCGUUGUUCGGAAUUACUGGGCGUAAAGGGCGUGUAGGCGGUUGGGCAAGUCAGAUGUGAAAGCCCGGGGCUCAACCCCGGAAGUGCAUUUGAAACUGUCUGGCUAGAGUAUGGGAGAGGAGAGUGGAAUUCCCAGUGUAGAGGUGAAAUUCGUAGAUAUUGGGAGGAACACCCGUGGCGAAGGCGACUCUCGGGACCAAUACUGACGCUGAGACGCGAAAGCGUGGGGAGCAAACAGG